GCAAUGGUGGUUCAGUGGUAGAAUUCUCGCCUUCCAUGCAGGAGACCCAGGUUUGGUUCCUGGCCAAUGUC
This 71-nucleotide transfer RNA is filed under the name Loxodonta africana (African savanna elephant). It matches the Rfam family "tRNA". From Rfam's summary of the family: Transfer RNA (tRNA) molecules are approximately 80 nucleotides in length. Their secondary structure includes four short double-helical elements and three loops (D, anti-codon, and T loops). Further hydrogen bonds mediate the characteristic L-shaped molecular structure. tRNAs have two regions of fundamental functional importance: the anti-codon, which is responsible for specific mRNA codon recognition, and the 3' end, to which the tRNAs corresponding amino acid is attached (by aminoacyl-tRNA synthetases). tRNAs cope with the degeneracy of the genetic code in two manners: having more than one tRNA (with a specific anti-codon) for a particular amino acid; and 'wobble' base-pairing, i.e. permitting non-standard base-pairing at the 3rd anti-codon position. Lineage: Eukaryota; Metazoa; Chordata; Mammalia; Proboscidea; Elephantidae. The record is from Rfam by way of RNAcentral.